AUAGGGUCGGCCACCAGGCGACGACGGGUAGCCGGCCUGAGAGGGCGACCGGCCACACUGGGACUGAGACACGGCCCAGACUCCUACGGGAGGCAGCAGUGGGGAAUAUUGCGCAAUGGACGAAAGUCUGACGCAGCAACGCCGCGUGAGGGAACGAAGGCCCUAGGGUUGUAAACCUCUUUCAGCAGGGACGAAGCGAAAGUGACGGUACCUGCAGAAGAAGCACCGGCUAACUACGUGCCAGCAGCCGCGGCCGA
This 257-nucleotide ribosomal RNA is filed under the name uncultured Actinomycetales bacterium. Its description in RNAcentral is "partial 16S ribosomal RNA". It matches the Rfam family "Bacterial small subunit ribosomal RNA", at positions 258 to 524 of the family's 1533-position model. The record is from RNAcentral. Lineage: Bacteria; Bacillati; Actinomycetota; Actinomycetes; Actinomycetales.